CCAAAAUGGUGGGAGGGAGAACUGAUUGGCUCAGAUGAGAUCACAAAUGUACCCCUUCUGCCGCAACAGAGCAGCAAGAGAGAUCUAUCAUAAAGAGCAACCCAAGUCCUGCCAGCUUCCUGAGCAAGAAGAAAGGGCACCUCAAUCACUGGCCUUCCAAGACGACAAGGAGGAAAAGGAUGCUCAGAUACAGGAUGCUCAGAUGCCUGCUGGGAAUCAUGAAGUCUCUCCAAUCAUACUCAUCCUGAGAAGAG
Molecule: long non-coding RNA, 254 nt
Filed under: Equus caballus (horse)
Lineage: Eukaryota; Metazoa; Chordata; Mammalia; Perissodactyla; Equidae
Description: lncRNA (ENSECAG00000040818.2)
Source: RNAcentral